This 253-nucleotide ribosomal RNA is filed under the name uncultured bacterium. RNAcentral describes it as "partial 16S ribosomal RNA". It matches the Rfam family "Bacterial small subunit ribosomal RNA", at positions 524 to 776 of the family's 1533-position model. The record is from RNAcentral.
UACGAAGGGGGCUAGCGUUGCUCGGAAUCACUGGGCGUAAAGCGCACGUAGGCGGAUUGCUAAGUCAGGGGUGAAAUCCUGGAGCUCAACUCCAGAACUGCCCUUGAUACUGGCGGUCUCGAGUCCGGGAGAGGUGAGUGGAACUGCGAGUGUAGAGGUGAAAUUCGUAGAUAUUCGCAAGAACACCAGUGGCGAAGGCGGCUCACUGGCCCGGUACUGACGCUGAUGCGCGAAAGCGUGGGGAGCAAACGGG